This is a non-coding RNA of Pilobolus umbonatus, 73 nucleotides long. Lineage: Eukaryota; Fungi; Mucoromycota; Mucoromycetes; Mucorales; Pilobolaceae. The record is from the annotation of a GenBank genome assembly.
GCCCGGAUAAUGUAGUGGUUAACAUACCCAGUUCGGAUCUGGGAGGUCCCGGGUUCAAAUCCCGGUUCGGGCC